CGCAAAUUGCGCCCUUUGGUAUUCCGAAGGGCAUGCCUGUUUGAGUGUCAUAUAGACUCAUCUACUCGGGUUUCCGAGUUAGGUGGUUUGGACGUCUGCCGACUCUGGCUCGUCUUAAAUGUCUAAGUGGAAUGCGUAAUAAGUUUUCGCUCCCUCCACUCUAAUCACACUUUAGCUCUGACCUCAAAUCAGGUAGGACUACCCGCUGAACUUAA
This 215-nucleotide unclassified non-coding RNA is filed under the name Hannaella oryzae. Its description in RNAcentral is "partial contains 5.8S ribosomal RNA, internal transcribed spacer 2, and large subunit ribosomal RNA". The stretch from base 1 to 50 matches the Rfam family "5.8S ribosomal RNA", at positions 105 to 154 of the family's 154-position model. Lineage: Eukaryota; Fungi; Basidiomycota; Tremellomycetes; Tremellales; Bulleribasidiaceae. The record is from RNAcentral.